ACAUGCAAGUCGAGCGGUAGAGAGAAGCUUGCUUCUCUUGAGAGCGGCGGACGGGUGAGUAAUGCCUAGGAAUCUGCCUGGUAGUGGGGGAUAACGUCCGGAAACGGACGCUAAUACCGCAUACGUCCUACGGGAGAAAGCAGGGGACCUUCGGGCCUUGCGCUAUCAGAUGAGCCUAGGUCGGAUUAGCUAGUUGGUGGGGUAAUGGCUCACCAAGGCGACGAUCCGUAACGGUCUGAGAGGAUGAUCAGUCACACUGGAACUGAGACACGGUCCAGACUCNUACGGGAGGCAGCAGUGGGGAAUAUUGGACAAUGGGCGAAAGCCUGAUCCAGCCAUGCCGCGUGUGUGAAGAAGGUCUUCGGAUUGUAAAGCACUUUAAGUUGGGAGGAAGGGCAGUAAAUUAAUACUUUGCUGUUUUGACGUUACCGACAGAAUAAGCACCGGCUAACUCUGUGCCAGCAGCCGCGGUAAUACAGAGGGUGCAGCGUUAAUCGGAAUUACUGGGCGUAAAGCGCGCGUAGGUGGUUCGUUAAGUUGGAUGUGAAAUCCCCGGGCUCAACCUGGGAACUGCAUUCAAAACUGACGAGCUAGAGUAUGGUAGAGGGUGGUGGAAUUUCCUGUGUAGCGGUGAAAUGCGUAGAUAUAGGAAGGAACACCAGUGGCGAAGGCGACCACCUGGACUGAUACUGACACUGAGGUGCGAAAG
Molecule: ribosomal RNA, 709 nt
Filed under: Pseudomonas sp. GOBB3-104
Lineage: Bacteria; Pseudomonadati; Pseudomonadota; Gammaproteobacteria; Pseudomonadales; Pseudomonadaceae
Description: bacterial SSU rRNA
Rfam family: Bacterial small subunit ribosomal RNA
Source: RNAcentral